Molecule: unclassified non-coding RNA, 332 nt
Filed under: soil metagenome
Description: partial contains 5.8S ribosomal RNA, internal transcribed spacer 2, and large subunit ribosomal RNA
Rfam family: 5.8S ribosomal RNA (bases 1-120)
Source: RNAcentral
GAUGAAGAACGCAGCGAAAUGCGAUACGUAAUGUGAAUUGCAGAUUUCAGUGAAUCAUCGAACCUUUGAACGCACAUUGCGCCCGCUAGUAUUCUGGCGGGCAUGCCUGUUCGAGCGUCAUUUCAACCAUCAAGCCCUAGGCUUGCGUUGGAGCCCUGCGGCUGCCGCAGGCUCCCAAAUCCAGUGGCGGGCUCGUCGUCGUACCGAGUGCAGUAAACAUCCUCGCUCAGGGAACGUGACGGGUUCUUGCCGUGAAACCCCCCACAUAUCAAGGUUGACCUCGGAUCAGGUAGGAAUACCCGCUGAACUUAAGCAUAUCAAUAAGCGGAGGA